UAUGGUGCAAGCGUUAUCCGGAUUUACUGGGUGUAAAGGGAGCGUAGGCGGUCUGCCAAGUCUGAUGUGAAAACCCGGGGCUCAACCCCGGGAGUGCAUUGGAAACUGGCGGACUGGAGUGUCGGAGAGGUAAGCGGAAUUCCUAGUGUAGCGGUGAAAUGCGUAGAUAUUAGGGGGAACACCAGUGGCGAAGGCGGCUUACUGGACGAUAACUGACGCUGAGGCUCGAAAGCGUGGGGAGCAAA
Molecule: ribosomal RNA, 245 nt
Filed under: uncultured bacterium
Lineage: Bacteria
Description: partial 16S ribosomal RNA
Rfam family: Bacterial small subunit ribosomal RNA
Source: RNAcentral